RNAcentral lists this ribosomal RNA (301 nucleotides) under uncultured bacterium. Its description in RNAcentral is "partial 16S ribosomal RNA". It matches the Rfam family "Bacterial small subunit ribosomal RNA", at positions 509 to 807 of the family's 1533-position model. The record is from RNAcentral.
CAGCCGCCGCGGUAAUACGAAGGGUGCAAGCGUUAAUCGGAAUUACUGGGCGUAAAGCGUGCGUAGGUGGUGGUUUAAGUCCGUUGUGAAAGCCCUGGGCUCAACCUGGGAAUUGCAGUGGAUACUGGGUCACUAGAGUGUGGUAGAGGAUAGUGGAAUUUCCGGUGUAGCAGUGAAAUGCGUAGAGAUCGGAAGGAACAUCUGUGGCGAAGGCGACUAUCUGGGCCAACGCUGACACUGAGGCACGAAAGCGUGGGGAGCAAACAGGAUUAGAUACCCCCGUAGUCCCUGUCUCUUAUAC